AUUGAACGCUGGCGGCAUGCCUUACACAUGCAAAGUCGAACGGCAGCGGACCUUCGGGUGCCGGCGAGUGGCGAACGGGUGAGUAAUAUAUCGGAACGUACCUUUCGAGUGGGGGAUAACGUAGCGAAAGUUACGCUAAUACCGCAUAUUCUGUGAGCAGGAAAGCAGGGGAUCGCAAGACCUUGCGCUGAUUGAGCGGCCGAUAUCAGAUUAGCUAGUUGGUGAGGUAAAGGCUCACCAAGGCGACGAUCUGUAGCGGGUCUGAGAGGAUGAUCCGCCACACUGGAACUGAGACACGGUCCAGACUCCUACGGGAGGCAGCAGUGGGGAAUUUUGGACAAUGGGCGCAAGCCUGAUCCAGCCAUGCCGCGUGAGUGAGAA
This 381-nucleotide ribosomal RNA is filed under the name uncultured bacterium. RNAcentral describes it as "bacterial SSU rRNA". It matches the Rfam family "Bacterial small subunit ribosomal RNA", at positions 30 to 411 of the family's 1533-position model. The record is from RNAcentral.